GAUGAAGAACGUAGCGAAAUGCGAUAAGUAGUGUGAAUUGCAGAAUUCAGUGAAUCAUCGAAUCUUUGAACGCGCAUUGCGCCCUUUGGGAUUCCAAAGGGCAUGCCUGUUCGAGCGUCAUUUGUACCCUCAAGCUUUGCUUGGUGUUGGGCGUCUUGUCUCUAGCUUUGCUGGAGACUCGCCUUAAAGUAAUUGGCAGCCGGCCUACUGGUUUCGGAGCGCAGCACAAGUCGCACUCUCUAUCAGCAAAGGUCUAGCAUCCAUUAAGCCUUUUUUUCAACUUUUGACCUCGGAUCAGGUAGGGAUACCCGCUGAACUUAAGCAUAUCAAUAAGCGGAGGA
Molecule: unclassified non-coding RNA, 341 nt
Filed under: soil metagenome
Description: partial contains 5.8S ribosomal RNA, internal transcribed spacer 2, and large subunit ribosomal RNA
Rfam family: 5.8S ribosomal RNA (bases 1-120)
Source: RNAcentral